UUCCCUUAGAGGUCCAGAGGGUUCCUCUCUCCCAUUCAGAGUACUCCAAGGAGGCUGACAAGACUGUGGAUUAUCGGCUUUAACAGAACAAUAGUACAAGUUCAUACUCUAGGGACUGCUGAAUAUGUACACGGAAUUUCCUUCCCACACGGUCCUCACGACUGCCUUGAUGGAGGGUUGGGACGUAAGGUCAGUGUUGUGUGCUCAAGUCGGACUCAACCAGGGAAGGAGCAGACAGACAUGAAACUCAAACCAGCAAGUGGCCUUGUGGGCUGAUUCCCUCCAUCCAGUGGGAGCAGGGAAAAGAAUACACUACAGCCCGCUGAACCUGGACCAAGCUCCGGAAACAUUCGCUAUCUGGGCGUGAGGAGCCCCUUUUACGAACACAGAGGUGAGGAGAUUGCGGCCAGAGACGUGAAGGAACCUGUUCAAGGAAGGUCACACCGCUCACAGGACAGGAACUCUGCUUCUGUUGUUCUUUCUCCUGCACUGGGCUUUGAUAACCUUUCCCUGCAUUAAUUAACCAACAUUACAACCUGGGAGAGACACCAGCAACUGAGCCUGUGCUGUGUUAAAUGCUGUAGAAGCACCGUUACAUAAAUCCUCACAGCAAGUCUACGAUGUAAGUAUGACUGGUCCAUAAGCCCUCAUCCUAAGCUCUGAAGGCAGUGUUUCAGAAUUCAGAAAUGUUCACAUUUUAGAAAGGUAACAGGGUGCCUUUAUCAUACAUUGUGUAAAAACCCCAUUAGAGCCUGGAGAAGUGCCUAAACACAGUAACGUUCCUGCAACAAAUGUGUAAGAUUCACGGUAAGCUGGACAAAUCCUAUAAAGUGUCUCGUGGCAGCUCAAAGCAGGUUUAUCAACCAAUCGAGUACAAAAAUCCCUUGUUUCUCAGAGCUCUUAGACUUCGGAUCUGUUUUCUUUGCUCCCAUUGGGCAGAUCAGGAAAACGAGGUUGAGAGCUUAAGCUGGGGUGGGGAUGGGGGCUGAGAAUCCUGGCAGCCUGAUUCCGGAGCCCACCUCCUGCCCACCACUGGGACUGCUGCUCUAAUAGUAGUGGGUAGAAAGCCCGCAAAACAACAAAAAGCUCUAGGGCAAUGUUUCAAACACACACAACUCCAGUCUGCACUCCUCCUUUCCCUACCUUUGGUAAUUUUUGCUGAAAGCAGCUAAUUAACUGUGAUAUCAGAAAUUUCUGCGUGGCUGGCGGUGGGGAAAGAAAUGCUCAACUUUUCUCACUCUGAGGAUCUGGUGACGUCACAUGCUACAAGUCACAUCAAGGACCACCAUGCUGCCUCCUGCCGAGGCAUCACCGUGGGCCUCAGAGGCUCGUGUGAACAGACGAACUAAAAAAAGUGUGUCUGAGAACACGGCCAGCGGUCCUCCUGACCGUCACGUGUAGACGC
This is a non-coding RNA of Delphinapterus leucas (beluga whale), 1405 nucleotides long. Lineage: Eukaryota; Metazoa; Chordata; Mammalia; Artiodactyla; Monodontidae. The record is from RefSeq and is a predicted model, not a curated record.